UACAUAGGGGGCAAGCGUUAUCCGGAAUUAUUGGGCGUAAAGGGUGCGUAGGUGGUUAUUUAAGUCUUUGGUGUAAGUGCAGUGCUUAACGCUGUGAUGCUAAAGAAACUGGGUAACUUGAGUGUGGUAGAGGCAAGUGGAAUUCCAUGUGUAGCGGUAAAAUGCGUAAAUAUAUGGAGGAACACCAGUGGCGAAGGCGGCUUGCUGGGCCACAACUGACACUGAGGCACGAAAGCGUGGGGAGCAAACAGGAUUAGAUACCCUGGUAGUCCACGCCGUAAACGAUGAGUACUAAGUGUAGGAGAAAUUCUGUGCUGUAGUUAACGCAAUAAGUACUCCGCCUGAGUAGUACGUGCGCAAGCAUGAAACUCAAGGGAAUUGACGGGACCCCGCACAAGCGGUGGAUCAUGUUGUUUAAUUCGAUGAUACGCGAAGAACCUUACCAGGUCUUGACAUCCCCUGCAAAGCUAUGGAGACAUAGUGGAGGUUAUCAGGGAGACAGGUGGUGCAUGGUUGUCGUCAGCUCGUGUCGUGAGAUGUUGGGUUAAGUCCCGCAACGAGCGCAACCCUUAUUGCUAGUUACCAUCAUUAAGUUGGGGACUCUAGCGAGACUGCCAGUGAUAAACUGGAGGAAGGUGGGGAUGACGUCAAAUCAUCAUGCCCCUUAUGACCUGGGCUACAAACGUGAUACAAUGGCUGAAACAAAGGGCAGCGAAGCAGUGAUGUGGAGCGAAACCCAAAAAAGCAGUCUCAGUUCGGAUUGAAGUCUGCAACUCGACUUCAUGAAGUCGGAAUCGCUAGUAAUCGCGGAUCAGAACGCCGCGGUGAAUACGUUCUCGGGGUU
This 844-nucleotide ribosomal RNA is filed under the name uncultured bacterium. Its description in RNAcentral is "SSU rRNA". It matches the Rfam family "Bacterial small subunit ribosomal RNA", at positions 524 to 1381 of the family's 1533-position model. The record is from RNAcentral.